Molecule: ribosomal RNA, 93 nt
Filed under: Vibrio alginolyticus
Lineage: Bacteria; Pseudomonadati; Pseudomonadota; Gammaproteobacteria; Vibrionales; Vibrionaceae
Also listed under: 5 other names
Description: partial 16S ribosomal RNA
Rfam family: Bacterial small subunit ribosomal RNA
Source: RNAcentral
AAAUUGAAGAGUUUGAUCAUGGCUCAGAUUGAACGCUGGCGGCAGGCCUAACACAUGCAAGUCGAGCGGAAACGAGUUAUCUGAACCUUCGGG